Molecule: ribosomal RNA, 253 nt
Filed under: uncultured bacterium
Lineage: Bacteria
Description: partial 16S ribosomal RNA
Rfam family: Bacterial small subunit ribosomal RNA
Source: RNAcentral
UACGUAGGGUGCGAGCGUUGUUCGGAUUCAUUGGGCGUAAAGCGCACGUAGGCGGCUCUUUAAGUCGGGGGUGAAAUCCUGGAGCUCAACUCCAGAACUGCCUUCGAUACUGUAGAGCUCGAGUCCGGGAGAGGUGAGUGGAACUGCGAGUGUAGAGGUGAAAUUCGUAGAUAUUCGCAAGAACACCAGUGGCGAAGGCGGCUCACUGGCCCGGUACUGACGCUGAGGUGCGAAAGCGUGGGGGGCAAACAGG